CCCUUAGAUGUUCUGGGCCGCACGCGCGCUACACUGACGAAUGCAACGAGUUUAUAACCUUGGCCGAAAGGUCUGGGUAAUCUCCAAAUUUCGUCGUGAUGGGGAUAGAUUAUUGCAAUUAUUAAUCUUCAACGAGGAAUGCCUAGUAAGCGCAAGUCAUCAGCUUGCGUUGAUUACGUCCCUGCCCUUUGUACACACCGCCCGUCGCUCCUACCGAUUGAAUGGUCCGGUGAAGCGUUCGGACCGUGGCCUUUGGACGGUUCGCCGUCUGUUGGCUGCGGGAAGUUCGUUAAACCUUNUNAUUUAGNGGAAGGAGAANUCGUANCA
This 327-nucleotide ribosomal RNA is filed under the name uncultured eukaryote. Its description in RNAcentral is "partial 18S ribosomal RNA". It matches the Rfam family "Eukaryotic small subunit ribosomal RNA", at positions 1470 to 1796 of the family's 1831-position model. The record is from RNAcentral.